RNAcentral lists this ribosomal RNA (254 nucleotides) under uncultured bacterium. RNAcentral describes it as "partial 16S ribosomal RNA". It matches the Rfam family "Bacterial small subunit ribosomal RNA", at positions 524 to 776 of the family's 1533-position model. The record is from RNAcentral.
UACGUAGGGUGCGAGCGUUAAUCGGAAUUACUGGGCGUAAAGCGUGCGCAGGCGGUCUGUUAAGACCGAUGUGAAAUCCCCGGGCUUAACCUGGGAACUGCAUUGGUGACUGGCAGGCUUUGAGUGUGGCAGAGGGAGGUAGAAUUCCACGUGUAGCAGUGAAAUGCGUAGAGAUGUGGAGGAAUACCGAUGGCGAAGGCAGCCUCCUGGGCCAAUACUGACGCUCAUGCACGAAAGCGUGGGGAGCAAACAGG